AAAUUGAAGAGUUUGAUCAUGGCUCAGAUUGAACGCUGGCGGCAGGCCUAACACAUGCAAGUCGAACGGUAGCACAGAGAGCUUGCUCUCGGGUGACGAGUGGCGGACGGGUGAGUAGUGUCUGGGAAACUGCCUGAUGGAGGGGGAUAACUACUGGAAACGGUAGCUAAUACCGCAUAACGUCGCAAGACCAAAGAGGGGGACCUUCGGGCCUCUUGCCAUCAGAUGUGCCCAGAUGGGAUUAGCUAGUAGGUGGGGUAACGGCUCACCUAGGCGACGAUCCCUAGCUGGUCUGAGAGGAUGACCAGCCACACUGGAACUGAGACACGGUCCAGACUCCUACGGGAGGCAGCAGUGGGGAAUAUUGCACAAUGGGCGCAAGCCUGAUGCAGCCAUGCCGCGUGUAUGAAGAAGGCCUUCGGGUUGUAAAGUACUUUCAGCGGGGAGGAAGG
This 452-nucleotide ribosomal RNA is filed under the name Klebsiella pasteurii. Its description in RNAcentral is "bacterial SSU rRNA". It matches the Rfam family "Bacterial small subunit ribosomal RNA", at positions 1 to 451 of the family's 1533-position model. Lineage: Bacteria; Pseudomonadati; Pseudomonadota; Gammaproteobacteria; Enterobacterales; Enterobacteriaceae. The record is from RNAcentral.